This 71-nucleotide transfer RNA is filed under the name Marmota monax (woodchuck). Its description in RNAcentral is "tRNA.Ala". The record is from RNAcentral. Lineage: Eukaryota; Metazoa; Chordata; Mammalia; Rodentia; Sciuridae.
GGGGUUGUGGCUCAGUGGUAGAGUGCUUGUCUCGCACGAGCAAGACCCUGGGUUCGAUACUCAGCACCACA